Molecule: ribosomal RNA, 498 nt
Filed under: uncultured bacterium
Lineage: Bacteria
Description: partial 16S ribosomal RNA
Rfam family: Bacterial small subunit ribosomal RNA
Source: RNAcentral
AUUGAACGCUGGCGGCAUGCUUUACGCAUGCAAGUCGAACGGUAACAGGCCGCAAGGUGCUGACGAGUGGCGAACGGGUGAGUAAUGCAUCGGAACGUGCCCAGUCGUGGGGGAUAACGCAGCGAAAGCUGUGCUAAUACCGCAUACGAUCUAUGGAUGAAAGCGGGGGACCGUAAGGCCUCGCGCGAUUGGAGCGGCCGAUGUCAGAUUAGGUAGUUGGGGGGGUAAAGGCUCACCAAGCCAACGAUCUGUAGCUGGUCUGAGAGGACGACCAGCCACACUGGGACUGGGACACGGCCCAGACUCCCACGGGAGGCAGCAGUGGGGAAUUUUGGACAAUGGGCGCAAGCCUGAUCCAGCAAUGCCGCGUGCAGGAAGAAGGCCUUCGGGUUGUAAACUGCUUUUGUGCGGAACGAAAAGGUUUGGGUUAAUACCCUGGGCCGAUGACGGUACCGUAAGAAUAAGCACCGGCUAACUACGUGCCAGCCGCCGCCGUAA